AUUGAACGCUGGCGGCAGGCCUAACACAUGCAAGUCGAGCGGCCGCGGAAAGUAGCUUGCUACUUUGCCGGCGAGCGGCGGACGGGUGAGUAAUGUCUGGGAAACUGCCUGAUGGAGGGGGAUAACUACUGGAAACGGUAGCUAAUACCGCAUAACGUCGAAAGACCAAAGAGGGGGACCUUCGGGCCUCUUGCCAUCCGAUGUGCCCAGAUGGGAUUAGCUAGUAGGUGGGGUAACGGCUCACCUUGGCGACGAUCCCUAGCUGGUCUGAGAGGAUGACCAGCCACACUGGGACUGAGACACGGUCCAGACUCCUACGGGAGGCAGCAGUGGGGAAUAUUGCACAAUGGGCGCAAGCCUGAUGCAGCCAUGCCGCGUGUAUGAAGAAGGCCUUCGGGUUGUAAAGUACCUUCAGCGGGGAGGAAGGUGUUGAGGUUACUAACCUCAGCAAUUGACGUUACCCGCAGAAGAAGCACCGGCUAACUCCGUGCCAGCCGCCGCAGUAA
This 506-nucleotide ribosomal RNA is filed under the name uncultured bacterium. RNAcentral describes it as "partial 16S ribosomal RNA". It matches the Rfam family "Bacterial small subunit ribosomal RNA", at positions 30 to 523 of the family's 1533-position model. The record is from RNAcentral.